GUGAAAACUCUGGCCUGAGAUAAAAGAGUGAGAUAGCAGUUUAAUAUAAAUGAGACAACAUAAUAGCACAAUUACUUUGGCUAAUAUUACAAUGCACAAUCACCUUAGCCUAGCUAUUUGCAGAAAAGGAGGAGCGCUGAAAUGUAGGGGAAAGCAAACAAACAACAGCAUAAAGCAGAAACCAAACAUGCUACCCAACUCCCACCCAUACUGCUGCCAUUCCUGCAAAAAGAGCCAACAACCAAAACCCUGAACCCAGAAGCAGCAAGCAGAAGAGGAAGCCUCCCAUGUUACAAUCUGAACUUUGAGCACCAUAAUGCUUUGCUCCCGCCAGCACUUUCGUUUUCAAGCAGGCAUGAGGCAGUGAUAGCAGAUUAAAACUCAACCUGUGACAUACCUCUAGAGAAAUGCAUUUAAGAAAAGGUGAGAGCACUGCACAGGUGGUGAUGAGUGAGGAAAAGAGAUGAGAAACACUCUUGUAAUCACCAGGGUCACAGAAGAAAGAAAAGGAGGAAGUGUUCUGGGUGAUGGAGCAGAGAUUCCUCUGCAGUCCAUGGUGCAGUAGAUAUGCACACUGCAGCCUAGGGAAUCAUAAGCUCAACCCAGUUCCUCCUGAAGGAUUGCAGCCUGUGGAAAGGUCCCAUGCUUGAGCAAGGAAGAAGUGUGAGGAGGAGGGAGCUGUAGAGAUGAACCAUUCCCUAUCCCUUUCCACUGACUGAGAAGGAGAGCUCUAAGAGAACGAAAGAGCCUGGGAAAAAGGCAGAGAUUGUCAUAGACACUAAAAUCUGACUUAUCCUCCAAAGGAGAAUUGAUGCAAGAAGCAAAAUCUGUUCAGAGUUAUUCAGUACAAGCCACCACCUCCAUGAGCACAAGGAGUCCUCCAGUCAGGUCCUGAACCACCAAGGUGCAGCACAGUGGAAAAGAAUUUGACUAAUGCAAACUUAAAGUAGUAUUUCUGGGGAAAUGGCUCAAACUACUAGACUAGAUCCCAUGUUGCCAUUUAUGUAUUUGUAUAUUGAGUUGGUAAACAAGUGAUGUUUGCUUUAAUUGACUUUACUCAGUGAGGAGUCAACUACCAAGCUUCCAGACACUUUAAAUAUCUGAGACUUUCAAUGUGAAGAAUCUUCAUUUACUGAAUGAUAUAUUUAAUAGUAACACAUACAUUAGUAGAGAAUAUUGAUAUUUGAAUGGAAUAAGUGCAUCUAUUUUCUGCCUCUUGACUGAAACCAGACACAAUAAUAAUCAAUCACUUGGGCAUAGUGAAUUUUGGAAUAAUGAUCCUGAAAAUUACGUCUUUGAGAGCUCAUCUGUAGUAUGUGGGACAAAGAUUGCUGUAUUGAGAGUGUCUUCCUCAUAGAGGCCUUUACACUACCAAAUGCCUUCUGUGUGUUGGUAUUCAGUCUGACUCAUGAAAAGACUGACUUGGCACAUUGAGGUCAGAUGAGUGCUUCUGUAUUAAAAUUUUAAUAUUAAUUCCUUGGAAUAGUUUCCAUAUAUCUUUUGCCUCUAACACAGUAAGUUAAUUAGUAUAAUACUAUGUGCUUAGCCUAUAGCUUGCUCUGUAAAAACAUCACUAUGUGUAUGCAUUAAUAAAUAUAUAUAUAAGCAGGAA
Long non-coding RNA from Pogoniulus pusillus (Red-fronted tinkerbird), 1612 nucleotides. RefSeq lists it as uncharacterized. Lineage: Eukaryota; Metazoa; Chordata; Aves; Piciformes; Lybiidae. The transcript has 2 exons. The record is from RefSeq and is a predicted model, not a curated record.